Long non-coding RNA from Mus musculus (house mouse), 147 nucleotides. RefSeq annotates it as RIKEN cDNA 1110057P08 gene. The record is from RefSeq and is marked validated. NCBI's taxonomy places the organism in Eukaryota, Metazoa, Chordata, Mammalia, Rodentia, Muridae. The transcript has a single exon.
AUGUGCUACUAUGGAGGAUACUAUGGAGGCCUGGGCUAUGGCUAUGGAGGCCUAGGCUGUGGCUAUGGAUGUGACUAUGGUAGCUAUGGCUAUGGCUGUUGCCGCCCACUAUGCUGUAGAAGAUACUGGUCCUGUGGCUUCUACUAA